RNAcentral lists this ribosomal RNA (268 nucleotides) under uncultured Glomus. RNAcentral's name for it is "partial small subunit ribosomal RNA". It matches the Rfam family "Eukaryotic small subunit ribosomal RNA", at positions 605 to 877 of the family's 1831-position model. Lineage: Eukaryota; Fungi; Glomeromycota; Glomeromycetes; Glomerales; Glomeraceae. The record is from RNAcentral.
UAAAGUUGUUGCAGUUAAGAAGCUCGUAGUUGAAUUUCGGGGUUAGUAGGUUGGUCGUGCCACUGGUAUGUACUGGCUUUACUGAUUCCUCCUUCUUGAAGAACUGUAAUGUCAUUAAUUUGAUGUUGCAGGGAAACAGGACUGUUACUUUGAAAAAAUUAGAGUGUUUAAAGCAGUCUAACGCUUGAAUACAUUAGCAUGGAAUAAUGAAAUAGGACGUUUGACCCUAUUUUGUUGGUUUCUAGGAUCGACGUAAUGAUUAAUAGGG